RNAcentral lists this transfer RNA (73 nucleotides) under Vicugna pacos (alpaca). RNAcentral's name for it is "tRNA-Ala (AGC) (tRNA-Ala-AGC-242-1)". It matches the Rfam family "tRNA". Rfam says of the family: Transfer RNA (tRNA) molecules are approximately 80 nucleotides in length. Lineage: Eukaryota; Metazoa; Chordata; Mammalia; Artiodactyla; Camelidae. The record is from RNAcentral.
GGAGGGUAUAGCUCAGUGGUAGAGUGCAUGCCUAGCAUGCAUGAGGCCCUGGGUUCAAUCCCCAGUGCCUCCA